Helianthus annuus (common sunflower) is the source of this 336-nucleotide long non-coding RNA. RefSeq lists it as uncharacterized. The record is from RefSeq and is a predicted model, not a curated record. The transcript has 3 exons. NCBI's taxonomy places the organism in Eukaryota, Viridiplantae, Streptophyta, Magnoliopsida, Asterales, Asteraceae.
UACCACUCCUACUCCCAUGACUAGGAAGGGUAAAGGGGUGAUGACAAUACCAACACCGGUUAAGCUCAAAGAAACAAUCAGAAAGUACAUCCCUACUUAUGAAGGUUCUGAUUCAGAUGGUUCUGUGGGUAGCGCUCCAGGUGAAAGACAAGAAACUACUAAGGGGAACGUCGACUACAUGGCCAUGCAUUAGCGGCAGAAGAUUUCGUGAAUUAUUGAAUAAAACCGGAAGCUUUAUGAACUCCUUUAAGUUUUUUUCCUGUAAUGUAUGUUUUUAGACUUGGCAUACAUGUUUGUUCUUAAACAGAUUACGCAACAAAGUUUCCUGUGCUAUGC